RNAcentral lists this long non-coding RNA (2025 nucleotides) under Apis florea (little honeybee). Its description in RNAcentral is "uncharacterized LOC105736692". Lineage: Eukaryota; Metazoa; Arthropoda; Insecta; Hymenoptera; Apidae. The record is from RNAcentral.
GGAAUAAAUUUAACCUAAUAUAACUAGCAUCGUUGAACCAAUCAAAUUUAAGCACAUGUAAGUGUGCCUUAAUUAGCAUUCGAUUGGCUAUAGUCGCAUUCGGUCCAUUCAAGUGUCAACCAGUUUUGUUACGUGUUUUUCAAAAUAUUAUAAAUCUAUAAAUAAUAUAUCUCACGAGAUAAAAUAAAUAUAAUAAAAUUAAAAAUACGAUAACGUGAUAUCAUUUACUGAAUAUAUUUUAAAGUGAAUCUAAUAAUCUCUAACUUAACCUACAAGUACAUGAAGUAUACAAAUAUCAUCACGAAUAAACUUUCUACGCGAUCCAUAUAGUAAUUUCCAUGACUCGAAGGAACAACAAGCGAAGACAUUUACUAUCAUGAUGCUGUAACUCUCUUACGAGAACGGAAUGGCAACUUUCUUGCCACGCCUAAUGUCAAGAGCGCCAUUUUGUGUCCUACACUCUUCGUUCCAUCCAUUCUCUGUACCUGAUAUGUUCAUUUGCAAGAGGACAAGUUAAACAGUAACUCGUGCAAGAUUAAUCUAUUUUAAAUUUUUUUUAUCAAAGAAUAACCUUAACACCAGGAAAUUAAAUCUGAAUUAACAAAGAAAUUGCCUAUUAAAAAAUUCUUUAAACAAGAUAUUACAUCAUAGAAGAGAUAUAGAGGAGAUAAAGCACGAGAAAUAUAUAAUUAAAACGUACCAGAAUUAGUGUGACCGUGUCCAGCCCCAGUGCUAUUCGUCGCCGAGUGAACAGCGUUGCUUGCAGCAUUCGCAACAUGUUUCAAUGCGCUUAUCACCAUCAUAUCUUCAACUACACUUAAAUCACGACUAUUCCAUCCAGGUCUUCCAGAUUUAACAAGAUACAUGGUCUCAUAUACAAAGAGAAUUAUUAUUACUAUUUGAUUAUUGCGUUGAAAGGACCGAAUUUUUAACAGAUUUGAUUAAAUAUAUUCUCCAUUAGAAAAGAAGAUUAAAAUUAUUAUACAUUAACAAAUGAAAUAUUUCAUUAAUUGUUGAUGCAUUAAUGAUACUCACUAAAUUCUGAUUAAUUUUAUUCACAAGAAUCGGUCAUUUACAUAUGCAAUAAUCUAAAAAGAAUAGAAGCUACGAGACAAUUUCAAGCACAAUUUCUCGAUUGUUUGCGCGUUUAAUCGAACCAAAACUUGGAAAGGUCGAGGAACGCGUGGAAAAAUGUGGAAAAACGAAUGUUCAAGGAACACAGCCAGUCAUGACUGUCGUCUAGACACGACUAAAAGUCGUUCCAGCGCGUAGAGAAUGCGAAAGCCAAUCGCCGCUGGCACACAGACAACCGAGAGAGGUUGGUGGUUGCCACGUCCCCUCCUCUCCUUCGGCCUUCUUCGGCUGAGUUUCACCUUUGCGGAAGCUUCGAACGGGCGAAGUGUAGGUGUUGGACAACAGCGACCGGGAUCCACUCUAUUUCGCCACCAAGAGGCGGAUGACCUGGCUAAGCGUUACACGCCAUGGACUUUGCAAUAAUCGAAUUGUUAGGCUCGAUAGUUUUGCGUUUUCGACCUAGUUCAGAAACGAUACCUUCUACUACUGUCCUCAAGCAUCAAGAGUGUCUAUAAUCUUGUGAUGAAUGGACCGUGAAAUUGAUCGAGAAGAAAGGUUGUUUGAUCCCGUUUGAAAUGAUGACUUAAUUGUUUUGGUGUUAAUAUUGAAUGAAUGGUAUUUAAAAUUUGAACACCUGCAAAAUUUGGAUCUACAUCCAUGGCUGAAGAAAAUUCUAUUAUGAAACGAACGAUAUUUUAAUUUUUAAAUAAUUUCUUUUUUCUUUCACUCAUCAUCUUUUUCUACGUUGGAUAAAAUAACAAAGCUUUGGCAGAGUCAAAUUGAGAUUAAUAAUUGAUUUAUAUAUUAAAUUUCGUCGAAUAUCAUAAGCGAUUUUUUAAAGUUAAAGAUUAAUCAAAGUUACACAAAAUUUUUAUUUGAAUGAAUUUUUUGACAUGAGAGGCUUAAUUGGGUUAAUUGGUUUCCACGUGAUUACGCGAAUGAAGCGUCUGA